UACUGGAUAGCUCAGUCGGUAGAGCAUGAGACUCUUAAUCUCAGGGUUGUGGGUUCAAGUCCCAUGUUGAGUAA
Podarcis muralis (Common wall lizard) is the source of this 74-nucleotide non-coding RNA. The record is from the annotation of a RefSeq genome assembly. NCBI's taxonomy places the organism in Eukaryota, Metazoa, Chordata, Lepidosauria, Squamata, Lacertidae.